Molecule: long non-coding RNA, 489 nt
Organism: Leptidea sinapis
Lineage: Eukaryota; Metazoa; Arthropoda; Insecta; Lepidoptera; Pieridae
Exons: 2
Source: RefSeq, a predicted model, not a curated record
AUCGCCAAAUUUGAUCUUAGAUUUAUCUUGAAAUUUUGAAUACAUACAUUUAAUUUUAAUACUGUGUGUCUGUUGAUAUUAUAUAUGGAAAUAAAUAGAAAUAUGAUAAUAUUUUUCGAACAACGAAUGCAGCACAAUAAACUAAAGCUUCGCGAACUAAAUGACGAUAUUCAAAAAUGUGUUAUUUUACUAAGAACAAUUAAAAUGAGACUCUCAACGCUACAAUUUCAAUUGAAUUCUUUGAAGAUAAGUUACGAAAUUGUGAUGGAACUUCAAAAAAUUGGUUUGAUCAUACAUCCUUCAUUAAAACUGAAAAUUGUCUAAACAUCAAAGAUAUAAGCGCGUGGACUGUCAUUUCCCCCGGGAUGCACCUGAGGUCGCCAGGACAGAGCAAUGGCCCUGACAGAGGAAAGAGCAUCGCUAAUGGGGAACGUAAUUUAGUAAUCGUUGAUAGGGCUGUGUAUAAAUAAAAUUAAAUAUUAAAAUAUA